AGUACUCGAGUGGCGAACGGGUGAGUAACACGUGGGUAAUCUGCCCCGCACUCUGGGAUAAGCCUGGGAAACUGGGUCUAAUACUGGAUAUGACCUUUCUCCUUAUGGGGUUUGGUGGAAAGUUUUUCGGUGUAGGAUGAGCCCGCGGCCUAUCAGCUUGUUGGUGGGGUGAUGGCCUACCAAGGCGACGACGGGUAGCCGGCCUGAGAGGGUGAUCGGCCACAUUGGGACUGAGAUACGGCCCAG
Molecule: ribosomal RNA, 246 nt
Filed under: uncultured Actinomycetales bacterium
Lineage: Bacteria; Bacillati; Actinomycetota; Actinomycetes; Actinomycetales
Description: partial 16S ribosomal RNA
Rfam family: Bacterial small subunit ribosomal RNA
Source: RNAcentral